This 2279-nucleotide unclassified non-coding RNA is filed under the name Neodiprion pinetum (white pine sawfly). Its description in RNAcentral is "probable phosphoserine aminotransferase, transcript variant X1". Lineage: Eukaryota; Metazoa; Arthropoda; Insecta; Hymenoptera; Diprionidae. The record is from RNAcentral.
GCCUGCGAAAUACUUUGAUGAGCUAAUCGCGUUUUAUAUUCCGUAUCGAAGUCGGUCAGGCAGCUUGCGCGAAUUUAAACCUCUUUUUUUACCUCUUCCGUAUCAUUUGUGCAAGCGUGUUGAGCGGUAGUCGAGACCAGGCAUUGUCAGUUCACGAGGCUCAUCCACAGCACAACAGCCAACGAUGACGGACACGGCGAAUAACUCCUCCUCUGGUGUCAUCAACUUCGGCGCAGGCCCAGGAAAACUUCCGCGAAAGGUACUGAAAGACGUGCAAGACGAACUCCUUAGCUAUGCCAACACUAAAAUCAGCGUUCUCGAGCUCAGCCAUAGGUCAGGUGAUUUCAAGAAAAUCAUUGAAGACGCUCAAGCAAGCGUACGGGAUCUCUUAAAAAUUCCGGAUAACUACAAGGUCUUAUUUCUUCAAGGAGGUGGAACUGGUAUGUUCGCAGCUGUGCCUUUGAAUCUACUAAACGAAGCGGGAACAGCUGACUAUAUUGUUACUGGUUCGUGGUCUGCUAAGGCAGCCAAAGAAGCAGCAAAAUAUGCUAAAGUGAACUUGGUACUUCCCAAGGUCAACAAGUACACAGAUAUCCCCGAUCCAUCAACUUGGAAUUUGAAUCCAAAAGCUUCUUACGUUUAUUACUGUGCCAACGAAACGGUUCAUGGCAUCGAGUUUAACUACGUCCCUGAAGUUGGGGAUGUUCCUUUGGUAGCUGAUAUGUCCUCAAAUAUGUUGUCCCGUCCGAUUGACAUUUCAAAGUUUGCAGUCAUAUUUGCUGGUGCUCAGAAGAACAUCGGACCAGCAGGUGUUACUCUUGUCAUAGUCCGCGAUGACGUGCUUGGACAUCCUAAAUCAAUCUGCCCAUCAGUAUUGGACUUCUCUAUCAUGGCAACGGAUAAUUCUGUCCAUAAUACACCACCAACAUUCCAAAUAUACGUUGUGGGUCGAGUUUUCGACUGGAUUAAAGAAAACGGUGGAGUCGAAGGCAUGGAGAAACUGGCGAUAGCAAAGAGCAAAGCUAUAUAUGAUGUGAUCGAUAACUCAAAUGGAUUUUAUCACUGCCCGAUAAGACGUGAUGCUCGUAGCCGAAUGAAUAUUCCAUUCAGAAUUGGUGGCGAUGACGAAGACUUGGAAAAUACUUUCUUAACUGGGGCUUCAGCUCGUGGAAUGCUUCAGCUCAAGGGUCACAGAUCCGUUGGUGGUAUACGUGCCUCAUUGUACAACGCAGUGACUAUGGAAGAUGUCCAAGCAUUAGUAACCUACAUGAAUUAUUUUUACCGUCUACAUCGCAAACAGAAAGACUAGAAAAAAGGAUUAGCCGGCCUUCAGAAGUGAGUAAUAGCUCAUCGGCGUAAGCUUGGGCCACAACAUAUGGCAUACCUUCAGGAUCUAUCCCGGGCCAUCUUAGAUCAUCAGAUUCUAGCCUGGAGAUGAAAGAGAGAAUAAUGUUGUACCAAAAUGAUGAGUUGACUGAGGGUUAACGCAACAAAAAAAAAAAAAUGAAAGUACCAGUGUUAUGAUUUGAUAAUUCAACAGCUUGAUGCUGAUAUCGAACAGAUAUAGCUUCACCUAAAGCAAUCGCCAAGGAAACAGUAUCAUUACGAUCAAGACCAGCAACCAACUGAGGUUCGUUCGACGAAGUAGAUGCCGUAGAAUUAGUACUGGGGUCAGCUCUCACUUUUGAGAAAUUAGUGUACAGAGCAGCGCACAUGAUUUGGAGAAGGACUGAACCACCUAUGGGGUGGCAGUUCGCAGGAAUAUUAUUGUUUAUCCUCGAAGCUGUACGCAGUAAGCCUGCCGGUGCGCAAAUGUACAAUUCGCUGAAGCAGGCGAGGGCCAGUGACAUUGUUUGGUAAAUACUAGCUCCUGUCUAUCAAGUGUAAUAGUGUAUGGUUUAGGUAACGAUGAGGCACUUCAGAUGGGUAAAUCAUGCAUAGCACACUUACCUUGAUUGCGUCCAGCAGAGUUGUGAUAAUGGGUACCAUGAUGGGAUACAGAGGUGUAAUAAGAGCGUGUAGCCAUGGCGGUCUGAUUUGAUUCCAAACCUUGAAUGUCCCGAGAAAUGACCGAUUAACUGUGAGCAGGAUACUAUCAGUCAAUUCUUUACAAACAUUACCUGAUGUCUGUCUAAGCAGUUGGACCAGUCAGAAUCUUGUAGCAGUGCUGGAAUAAUAACAAUCAUCGCAUCCAUGUCUGCAAUUAUUGAGAUAUAGGUAAGGCUGUAAGCCCACAAAGCUGGACUACAAGCAGGGCGAGAGCAGGUUUGUCCUGAGCA